Molecule: ribosomal RNA, 1448 nt
Filed under: uncultured organism
Description: SSU rRNA
Rfam family: Bacterial small subunit ribosomal RNA
Source: RNAcentral
GCUCAGGAUGAACGCUAGCUACAGGCUUAACACAUGCAAGUCGAGGGGCAGCAUGGUCUUAGCUUGCUAAGGCCGAUGGCGACCGGCGCACGGGUGAGUAACACGUAUCCAACCUGCCGUCUACUCUUGGACAGCCUUCUGAAAGGAAGAUUAAUACAAGAUGGCAUCAUGAGUCCACAUGUUCACAUGAUUAAAGGUAUUCCAGUAGACGAUGGGGAUGCGUUCCAUUAGAUAGUAGGCGGGGUAACGGCCCACCUAGUCUUCGAUGGAUAGGGGUUCUGAGAGGAAGGUCCCCCACAUUGGAACUGAGACACGGUCCAAACUCCUACGGGAGGCAGCAGUGAGGAAUAUUGGUCAAUGGGCGAGAGCCUGAACCAGCCAAGUAGCGUGAAGGAUGACUGCCCUAUGGGUUGUAAACUUCUUUUAUAAAGGAAUAAAGUCGGGUAUGCAUACCCGUUUGCAUGUACUUUAUGAAUAAGGAUCGGCUAACUCCGUGCCAGCAGCCGCGGUAAUAAGGAGGAUCCGAGCGUUAUCCGGAUUUAUUGGGUUUAAAGGGAGCGUAGAUGGAUGUUUAAGUCAGUUGUGAAAGUUUGCGGCUCAACCGUAAAAUUGCAGUUGAUACUGGAUAUCUUGAGUGCAGUUGAGGCAGGCGGAAUUCGUGGUGUAGCGGUGAAAUGCUUAGAUAUCACGAAGAACUCCGAUUGCGAAGGCAGCCUGCUAAGCUGCAACUGACAUUGAGGCUCGAAAGUGUGGGUAUCAAACAGGAUUAGAUACCCUGGUAGUCCACACGGUAAACGAUGAAUACUCGCUGUUUGCGAUAUACUGCAAGCGGCCAAGCGAAAGCGUUAAGUAUUCCACCUGGGGAGUACGCCGGCAACGGUGAAACUCAAAGGAAUUGACGGGGGCCCGCACAAGCGGAGGAACAUGUGGUUUAAUUCGAUGAUACGCGAGGAACCUUACCCGGGCUUAAAUUGCAGAUGAAUUACGGUGAAAGCCGUAAGCCGCAAGGCAUCUGUGAAGGUGCUGCAUGGUUGUCGUCAGCUCGUGCCGUGAGGUGUCGGCUUAAGUGCCAUAACGAGCGCAACCCUUGUUGUCAGUUACUAACAGGUUCUGCUGAGGACUCUGACAAGACUGCCAUCGUAAGAUGUGAGGAAGGUGGGGAUGACGUCAAAUCAGCACGGCCCUUACGUCCGGGGCUACACACGUGUUACAAUGGGGGGUACAGAGGGCCGCUACCACGCGAGUGGAUGCCAAUCCCAAAAACCUCUCUCAGUUCGGACUGGAGUCUGCAACCCGACUCCACGAAGCUGGAUUCGCUAGUAAUCGCGCAUCAGCCACGGCGCGGUGAAUACGUUCCCGGGCCUUGUACACACCGCCCGUCAAGCCAUGGGAGCCGGGGGUACCUGAAGUGCGUAACCGCGAGGAGCGCCCUAGGGUAAAACUGGUGA